Molecule: ribosomal RNA, 451 nt
Filed under: uncultured bacterium
Lineage: Bacteria
Description: bacterial SSU rRNA
Rfam family: Bacterial small subunit ribosomal RNA
Source: RNAcentral
AACGAACGCUGGCGGCAUGCCUAACACAUGCAAGUCGAACGAGACCUUCGGGUCUAGUGGCGCACGGGUGCGUAACGCGUGGGAAUCUGCCCGUUGCUACGGAAUAACUCGGGGAACUCGUGCUAAUACCGUAUGAUGUCGCAAGACCAAAGAUUUAUCGGCAAGGGAUGAGCCCGCGUAGGAUUAGCUUGUUGGUGAGGUAAAGGCUCACCAAGGCGACGAUCCUUAGCGGUCUGAGAGGAUGAUCAGCCACACUGGGACUGAGACACGGCCCAGACUCCUACGGGAGGCAGCAGUGGGGAAUAUUGGACAAUGGGCGAAAGCCUGAUCCAGCAAUGCCGCGUGAGUGAUGAAGGCCUUAGGGUUGUAAAGCUCUUUUACCCGGGAAGAUAAUGACUGUACCGGGAGAAUAAGCCCCGGCUAACUCCGUGCCAGCAGCCGCCGCGGUAAU